This is a non-coding RNA of Triticum aestivum (bread wheat), 135 nucleotides long. Lineage: Eukaryota; Viridiplantae; Streptophyta; Magnoliopsida; Poales; Poaceae. The record is from Rfam.
UAGAUACUCCCUCCGUCCGAAAAUAGUUGUCAUCAAAAUGGAUAAAAAAAGAUGUAUCUUAAACUAAAGUACGUCUAGAUACAUCCCCUCUUAUCCAUUUUGAUGACAAGUAUUUCCGGACGGAGGGAGUAGUCA